Molecule: ribosomal RNA, 253 nt
Filed under: uncultured bacterium
Lineage: Bacteria
Description: partial 16S ribosomal RNA
Rfam family: Bacterial small subunit ribosomal RNA
Source: RNAcentral
UACGAAGGGGGCUAGCGUUGCUCGGAAUCACUGGGCGUAAAGCGCACGUAGGCGGAUCUUUAAGUCGGUGGUGAAAUCCUGGAGCUCAACUCCAGAACUGCCUUCGAUACUGAGGAUCUCGAGUCCGGGAGAGGUGAGUGGAACUGCGAGUGUAGAGGUGAAAUUCGUAGAUAUUCGCAAGAACACCAGUGGCGAAGGCGGCUCACUGGCCCGGUACUGACGCUGAGGUGCGAAAGCGUGGGGAGCAAACAGG